Molecule: small nucleolar RNA, 107 nt
Organism: Magnolia sinica
Lineage: Eukaryota; Viridiplantae; Streptophyta; Magnoliopsida; Magnoliales; Magnoliaceae
Source: RefSeq, a predicted model, not a curated record
AAGCCGUGUUGUGGGUAUGAACUAACCAAAUCCUUGAACCUUUCCCAACAUUGGAAAAAUGUUUCAUUUUCCUUUUAGGCGAAGUUCAUGAUUGCUUUUCUGAGGGU